RNAcentral lists this ribosomal RNA (427 nucleotides) under uncultured bacterium. Its description in RNAcentral is "partial 16S ribosomal RNA". It matches the Rfam family "Bacterial small subunit ribosomal RNA", at positions 354 to 796 of the family's 1533-position model. The record is from RNAcentral.
GUGGGGAAUAUUGCGCAAUGGGCGAAAGCCUGACGCAGCGACGCCGCGUGAGGGAAGAAGGCCUUAGGGUCGUAAACCUCUGUUGUGUGGGAAGAAGGAAGUGACGGUACCGGAAUAGAAAGCCACGGCUAACUACGUGCCAGCAGCCGCGGUAAUACGUAGGUGGCAAGCGUUGUCCGGAAUUAUUGGGCGUAAAGCGCGCGCAGGCGGAUCUGCCAGUCUGUCUUAAAAGUUCGGGGCUUAACCCCGUGAUGGGAUGGAAACUACAGAUCUAGAGUAUCGGAGAGGAAAGUGGAAUUCCUAGUGUAGCGGUGAAAUGCGUAGAUAUUAGGAAGAACACCAGUGGCGAAGGCGACUUUCUGGACGAAAACUGACGCUGAGGCGCGAAAGCCAGGGGAGCGAACGGGAUUAGAUACCCCUGUAGUCC